CCUUAGAUGUCCUGGGCUGCACGCGCGUUACACUGACGGAGCCAGCGAGUACUUCCUUGUCCGAAAGGUCCGGGUAAUCUUGUUAAACUCCGUCGUGCUGGGGAUAGAGCAUUGCAAUUAUUGCUCUUCAACGAGGAAUCCCUAGUAAGCGCAAGUCAUCAGCUUGCGUUGAUUACGUCCCUGCCCUUUGUACACACCGCCCGUCGCUACUACCGAUUGAAUGGCUUAGUGAGGCGUCCGGACUGGUCCAGGAAGGCGGGCAACCGCCCUCCAGGACCGGAAAGCUCUCCAAACUUGGUCAUUUAGAGGAAGUAAAAGUCGUAACAAGGUCUCCGUUGGUGAACCAGCGGAGGGAUCAUUA
RNAcentral lists this ribosomal RNA (361 nucleotides) under Stachybotrys nephrospora. RNAcentral's name for it is "bacterial SSU rRNA". It matches the Rfam family "Eukaryotic small subunit ribosomal RNA", at positions 1471 to 1831 of the family's 1831-position model. Lineage: Eukaryota; Fungi; Ascomycota; Sordariomycetes; Hypocreales; Stachybotryaceae. The record is from RNAcentral.